Molecule: long non-coding RNA, 6645 nt
Filed under: Panax ginseng (ginseng)
Lineage: Eukaryota; Viridiplantae; Streptophyta; Magnoliopsida; Apiales; Araliaceae
Description: long non-coding RNA (PGIN_LNC012142)
Source: RNAcentral
CGAAUCGCAACCUUUACAAUUCUUCUUCUAUUAGAAUCAUAUUUAUUAUAUGAUUUGUAUAAUCUGUGUAAACGUAUUAAAAACUUAAGUCUCAAUAUUUCAUAUAUUUUCUAUCGAUGGUUCAUUUAUUUUAGAAUCAUAUCUAUUCUCAUUUCAGAAUAAACAUUCUUUAUUCAUUCAACAUUUCAAACUAUACAUAACUGCCAAUUACAUUUGACAAAACUAUCAAUCAUAGAUUUAUACCAUUUCUAAUUCAAGGAAAUGUAUUCAUUUUGCACAUCGUUCAAUCUUCAUCAUCCGUAUAACAAGUAAUAUUGCUUAACAUCAUUAACCUGCAAAAAGUUUGUGUUUGCAAGAUUGAGCUUGACAGCCCAACAAAUUUAACAGUCUAUCAUAUUUCACACAGCACACAAUUCCAUAUGCACUAUAUUUUCUUUACUAUGCAUAUCCGCAUGCAACAUAUAUUCUUUACUAUGCAUUUUCUACAUGCAUCAAUAAUUCCUUACAAAGCAUACAUUCAUGCAUUAUACAUUUCUAAUUUAUCGAGCUACAUCAUACAACAUGUGUUAUCACAUAUCACAUAUAAAUUGAGUUCCAUAAUCCAAUUAACUUAGUCAUAUUUUGACUUUAACAAUUCAUAAAGUAUGAUAUGUAACUCACCACAUAAUCUCAUUUAAUCUACAAACAUAAUAGAACUGAAAAACUUGUCUCGUUCAAUGACCAUUGAUACAAACUUUAAUUUAACUUCGCUUCACGAAUCCUACACAGUUAUGUUCACAUGUAUGCAUACACUAGCCACAUACUCCUGUAUAGAUAUUAAACAUUCAUAUACGUUAUAUCAGUAACUGAUAUUCUCAUUUCCAAGAAACUUCCAUAUUCUUUUUUUUCAAAUAUUUUAAGUUUCAGCUUAUUAUAGCUAUACAUUCUCAAAAAGUUCUAACACGACUUUUAAAUAAUUGUCUUCACAUACAAAACAUAUUAGUUAUGUGUCCAUGUCAUAUAACAUGUAUAGUUAUAUAUUAAAUAUCCAUAUUGGUCAUAUCAUUAACUUUUAAUUCUCGUUUUUGAAAACUUCUUAUAUUCUUUUCAAAAACGUUUAUUCUUUUACUCACGAUAGUCUUUUAUCGCUUUAACAACACUUGACAUGAUUUUAGUUCAUGAAUAUCUCACACUUUCAUUUUAUAAUUCUCUUGUAUCGUAUUACAUGGGUAUUCCAUACUUUUUAUACAUACUUUAUGUAUUCAAGGUGAAUUCGAAACUCAUUUUGUGCUUUGAGUGUAAUUAUAACUUGUAUGGACAACGUAUAGCUUUCGUAAUACUUUAUAGUUCCAAUUAAGUCCACUAAUGCUUUAAAUAUUGUUGUUUUUCAUCAUAUUGACAAAACAGCCCCUUCGAGGCAUUAGCAGUUUCAAACUUGGCUUAACAUCCCCAAUUUAGAUACACAAUAUCUCUACUAGACUUUAACUUAUAGAUUACUAACUCAAUGGUAUUAAACUGUAGGUAGGUUGUAGAUUUUAUACACAUGUCCAUUUAAAGAUAACAAACUCAAACUUUUUGGGUAAACUAUUGAACUAAAUUUCGAAGCCAAGAUGGCUCUUCAACGCUGCUGUAGCAGCUUCUUGUUGCUGUCUACUGUUGUUCGCUGCUGCCUAAUGGCAGCAACUCUUUCCCUUGCCCCAAACCUCAUGCAAAUUUUAGUUCCUAGUUUAAUAAUCCACUCACAAUUAACUCUUAAUAAAUUAUAGAUGGUACACCCACCUAUUAAAAUAGCUAACAAUCUGCAGUACUAUAUAAUAUAUAUGAACCCAAUUGCUUUCCAAAUUUGCUCCUUGUUGCUAACUGCUACUGCCAAUGGGCAACAACCCCUUCUUUUUCUCUUGUUUUGCUAGCUUUUCGCUCCUCACGACUUUGAUCUAUUCAUAUGGAAUUUUGAUAUUAUGUAGGUGAUAUACUUAGCUAUUAUAGUAAAACAUUAGCCGUGCAUCUUAAGCAAUUAAAGUUUGUUGGCUGAGAGCCCAAGGAAAACCCCCAGCCAUUGCCAAACAUCACCACUGCUGCUGCCAUGGGAAGCAGCUCUGUUUUCAACGUGCCCAUUUUGCGACCUCAUUACUUCUAGCUCGUAUAUUGGAUUACAACGAAUUUUAAAUAUGUUAUAUAUAGUAUAUGAGACUAUUUUUAAAAAAUACGAGUCACCCAAUUCGGGUUCAUUAGGCAGCCCAAAUAAUGCGUCAAAAAUAGACGUUCAUAACAGUUUCAAUUUCUUCCUAGCUGUACCCUCUCUCGCUAAAACAGUCAUAACUUUUUCGUUUUAAAACAUUUUUAGGCGAUUCUCGAGCCCACGCGAAGCUAACUUCCAGGACUACAAUUUUCAUUCUUUGACAAUUUUCAAAUUCAAAACACAGAAUCCCAGAAAAUUCGUGCAAGGUGACUGCCCCGAGUUGGUUAGACAGUUUUGACGCGACUACUUUGAACGGUCAUAACUCUUUGCUCCGAAAUCGGAAGUAGUACGUUCCAGAGUCUAUGGAAAGCUUAUUCAAUGUACUAUAAUACCCCGAAAGCCCAGAAUUUUCUGGAAACUCUAGCUAGCCCCGAAUUUUUCCUUAGGGUCAGAAGUUCACAAUUUUUCGGUUUCUAACAUGUUUAUUUCGCGUAGUUUAAUUUCUUACAUCUUCGAUUCAUUUGUAUUAAGUUUUGGAUAUAUAUAUAUAUAUAUAUAUAUAUAUAUAUAUAUAUAUAUAUAUAUAGGUUUUAUACUCACCUAUUUUAGAAACAUACCAGUUCAACAUUUUGAAUCAUUAAACUCGUUGACUGAGAGCUUAAAGAAGCCCCCAGCCAUCCGCCCUGCAGCGUGAUGCUGCCUACUGCUAUGAGCAGCAGCGUUUUGGACAUCAUGGCCACUUUACAACUUUUUAACUUCUAGCUCAUAUGCCGGAUUAAAACCAAUUUUAAAUAUGUUAUAUAUAGCAUAUGAUACUAUUUUUAGAAACUAUAAGCUCCCCAUUUUGGACUCUUUAAGUUACCCAAAAUUGUGCUCAAAAAUAGCUUGACAUACUAACUUUCAACUUUUUCGUUUUGGCUUAAAAUCGCAUUUUGUUUUAAUUUACUUUGCCCAAACCCUUUAAUCAUCUUCAUAUAGUGUAAAUAUACAUUACCUUAGCCUCGGAUUUGCUUAAUAUUUGGAUUUUAACUGAAACAGUCCGUAUAGGACUUUUAUCAAGCACUUGGUGUGCACUUUCUUAAAACGCAUAUUUCAUGGUGUUUGGUCUAUGUUCUAGCCCAAUUUUUGCCACCUUAUUACUCCGCACAACCAAUCAUACUUUCAAACAUUGACCCAAUUCCAUUCCUUUAGUUUCUAAAACAUGUUUUACAUUAUAAAUUCCAUUUCCAUAGCUUGAUCGUUACAUAAAUGAUCCUUAACCAACUGUUUUCACAGUUAAUUCCAAUUCCAACCAACUAAUUUCACAUUAAAAUUACUAACUCUCUAUGCUAAAUACUCAAAUUCCAUAUUUGCAAAUAUAUAUAUAGAAUAAGUUGUAUACCUUGUAUGCUUGAUUCUUGGAUUAUAAUUGAUCGAUUGGGAUUUGAAUGUUGGAAGGAAUAGCGUUGUUGAGACUUAUUUCUGGACAUGGGAGCUCGGCACAGGAAGAGGAGAAAUAUGGGAGAAUUCGACUAGUAGAGGAAAAAGAAGGCUAGGAUGCUAAAAUUUAUAAUCCCAAUUUUCUUGUCCCCCAAUCUUUCAACACUGUUUGGCUUGGGUUUCUAUUUUAUUUACUCUCAUUUAAUUAAUAUAGCUUUCUUUAGGAAUACAUAGAAUAUAUAAUUGCUAUUAUAUAUAUUAUGUAUUACCCUCUACAUAAAAAACAUAACAUUUAUAAAUAUAAUAUGUUUUUACCUUGUAUUCGCAAAAAUGUAUGUUACAUAUUAUUUCCAUAUAAAUGAAAAUUUACUCAAUUAACUAAGAUAUUAUAUUUAAUAUAAUAUCUUUGCUUUAUUAGAAUAAUUUCAAGCUAGAAUUUAUUUAAUUACUUAACCCUCUCUUUAAUAACUUAAGUUUAUUUAGUAAGUUAUUAUUUAAACAAAUUAUCCUUCUUAUUAUUCUUUUCUUCUUGGCAAUACAUAAAUUAUAUAUCAAUUAUGUAUUUCACCAUAAAACAUAAUACAAUUUAUUAAUAUUAUGAUUCUACUUUGUUUACGCAAAAUAAAUGUUUUACAUAAUUUCCCACAUAAAAGAAAUUAUACAUUUACUUAAGAUAUUAUAUUAAUUAUAAUAUCCUUACCUCGUAAAAAAAUUAUUCCUUGCAAGAAUUUACUUUAAUAUUCUUGGGUAAAGUAUAUAUAAAUAUUAUAUGCUUAACCCGCCUCUUUUUUCCUCAUUACGCAAAUUGUUCCCACAAUUUUAUUUCACUGCGUAAUAUAUAUUUAUUAACUCCCCAUUACCUAAUUUAAUAACUUGUUUAAAUUAUACAAUCUAUAUUGUAUAAUUAAAUUUAAUUUCCUCCUUUCCAUAUAUUGUUUUCAAACAAUUUAUUUGUAUACUAAAUACAUAAUUUAAUAUAUUUAAUUUAUUCAAAUAUGAAUUUAAUUUACUAACUAGUUGAUACAAAUAUACAUAUUUUAUAUAUUGGAUCUCAUAUCAUAUUUUUACUUUACAUCGUUUGGUAUAAUAUUAAAUAUUAUACCAUUAUCCAUGUAACAUAAUAUCAUAUAUCCAAUUAUUUUCUUCCCUUUCUAUAAAUUGCUUUCACAAUUUAUUUAACUGUGGUAAAUAUAUUAAUAUAUUCACUGCAUUAAAUACAUGCAUACAUUACACUCAAUAGUGUAAUAUAUGAUUUCUUCAAUAAAAUAGUGGUUAUACAUGAAGUAUAUUUAAUGCCACCAAUCUAUCAUAUUAAAAUAAUUUAAUAUUAUAAAUUAUUUUAAUUCUACCCAUCUUAUUUUCUUUAAUAAAUUAUCCCUAUAAUUUAUUUACAUAUAAUAAAUAUAUAAUACCAAUAUAUUUAUUAAACAUAAACAUCACAUAUUGCAUAGUUCAUACCCACUUAUGCAAUAUAAUAUCAUACAACAUAUUAUCUAAUAAGAAUUUUAUUUAUUUAAUUCUUAUUUUAAUAUUACCCAAAAAUUUAGGUUAUCACAAUGUCUCAUUAGACGGUUAAUACUUGAAAGAACAUGUAACGAUAUACAAGUUGCAUGAGGAUGCCUGAUUUAGCCGUGUAAGAGUAACUUAUAAAAUAAGACACUUAUUUUUUCUCCUCGCAAAAUAUAAGUGCUCCCUCCAUCUCAGGAGAAAUGUUCAGCAUUUGAUUUUUAUGGUCAAAAUGAUUAUUAUUAAAUUAAUAAUUAAGCAUAUACGUUUAGAAUUUUAAAAUCCCAAAUCUUGAUGUUAGUACUAAAUUAUGUGUAGUUUAUAAUAUUCAUAGUCUCUUUGCAUGUAUCUAAGAGAUUAAUACGAUUCAUUUUUAAAAAUGGUCGAUUUGACCAUGAAAAACAACAGAGGACAUUUAUCAUGGGAAACAGGAAGAAGAAAAAUCAGUAAUCCACCCCUUCAUGUUAUUCAACAACCUCAUGUAAAUUUGGUCAGAACACUGUCAUUACCAUCCUAUGCUGCCUGACAUAGGAACAAUGGUGUCAAAACUCAAAACUUCAACAAACAGUGAUGCAUUAUUGUUCCAUUUCCUUUAAAAAAGUCUAUUUGUUUAUUUUCAUAAGAAGAAUUUCAGUACAUUGAACAAAUGGAUCAAAAAUCAGACAAAUGGAUCAUAGAAUAUAUUGUGUUAUAUUAUAGAACAAAAGCAACACUAGAGCUGCUUGACAUUGUGCAUAUAGACAUACUGUUUCAGUAAUGAACUCUUUAAAAUACUCACAUAUAUAUUAACGUAAAAAGGUAAUCAAGAGAAAAGAUCUCAUACCUGAAACACACCCAUCUCUGUCAAGAAAUCCGUUGUCGGCCACACGGAAAAAUCAAACAAAAAUUGCUUAGUAUUACUCUAGUAUCAAUUAACCAAAAUCAGAGAAUAACCCUAGAUCAGAAGUAAUUAAGAUAAAAUUGCACUAAAUCAGCAAUAAACCUUUAUGGUACCAAAAACAAUUUACAAAGAAAUUAAACAAGCCUGUAAAUUUGGAUAAGCCCAAAAUAGCUCAAGAACACAGCAACAAAUAAAAUCACAAAUAGUUCAUAAAAACCAUAUUGUUCUAUGGAACUUUGCAAGUGUCGGUCAUCUAAGAACCUGAGAAUGAAGAGAAGAGGUAAAUCAUCAUAAACCACAAUUCAACAAUAAACAAUAAACACCCAAAGUUUAGAGAGAAUCGAAUGAUUUACAGAAUACAUGAGAAUCGAUUGAUUUACCUGAGAAUCGAUUAUUCUACAUCCAGGUUACAUGCAAUACUUGAAAAUCGAUUGGUUUGAGAAUAGAUUCAACAAUAAACACACAAAGUUUAUAGAGAAUUGAUUGAUUUACAGAAUACCUGAGAAUCGAUUGUUCUAUAUCUGGGUUACAUGUAAUACCUGAGAAUCGAUUGAUUUUAGAAUAGAUUGAUAUGUUGCAGAUUAGAGAGAAUGAAAGAUCGAAGAAACAUAUUAGAGCUUUGGGCGGGAGUGGGAAAAAAGAAAGAAGGAAGAAUACUCAGUCUGAAAGAAGAAGAAUUCUG